Molecule: long non-coding RNA, 1792 nt
Organism: Raphanus sativus (radish)
Lineage: Eukaryota; Viridiplantae; Streptophyta; Magnoliopsida; Brassicales; Brassicaceae
Exons: 6
Source: RefSeq, a predicted model, not a curated record
ACUCUGAAUUCUAUAGAUCUUUUGCGUCUGUUUCAUCUAAGAUCCUUUAUAAAUAGCUCCUUUGGGUUUUUAUUUUCUGAACAUGUUUCAGGUUUCCGUUCGACCAGAAGUUUACCGGAGAUUUUCUUUUGGCAAUCAGUUACGGAGAGAUUUGUCACGGCGACAUCUUCAGUGACAAAGAUUCACAAUCACCAGAGAGUCUCUAGCGGAGAGAGAGUUGCUGGUGAAAUAAAAAAAAAACUUCAAGCUCCAACAAGUCUGUUUUGGUAGGGGAUCAAAACUGUGAGAUUCACAGAUGUUAAAAUCAUUUCCGAGAGAGAUGACUGGAAACUCGAAGCCGGCAGAAAGUAUUUCUUCACAAGAAACUACUCCACCAUUGUUGCUUUUGCCAUUGGCAAAAAAUAUGUAGCUGGAAACGGAUUCCAUAUUAUUGGUGCUCACACUGAUAGCCCUUGCCUCAAACUCAAGCCCGUUUCAAAGAUAACUAAAGGUGGAUGCUUGGAGGUUGGUGUUCAAACUUAUGGAUGUGGCCUUUGGUACACCUGGUUUGAUCGUGACAAACUGAGAUGUAGUCUCUUUUUUUCAAAACUCAAUUUGGUCAUUGGAUGUGUGAUUAUUUGUCCUAGCUUUUGGUGGGAAUCUCAUUAACGGACCUGGAACUUUAAAACUUGGUUUUAAGACGACAACGUCGACUAUUUGGGCAGUUGGUGUUGAUGCCACCAACAAGACUAACAAUGGUGACGUUAGCAGACAAGUUCGAGUUCCUUUACAGCUGAUGACAAAAUGUUUAGGUUUGUGUUAUUCCUAAAAAGUAUGUUUGUCUUAGGUAUUGGUCGAUCAGCUUCAAGAGAGGUGCUGCCACUUAAUGAGUUGUUUCAAAAGCAUUUGGGAGACAGGCGAGCCAUGCCAAUGAUAAUGAUAGUUGUAUGGAUCAUUUUGAGAAAAUUACCGCAGCUCAGAUGUUAAGAUCUAGAGAAAAAGGUUAAGGACAGUGACAAAAAAAAAGAGAGAAAGGCUGAGGAGAUUUUUCUGAAUCACUUGGAAAAAUUUACAGACUUGAGGCAAAAAAAAUGAUUCAGAUUUCACCACAAGAAAUCAAGCAAAGGAGUGAAGACAAAGAAGAAACAGGAAAAUUACCCUUCAGAUCACCAUUUGAGAGAAGUCAAAACUGUGCUUAUUAGGUUGAUAUUAAUAAAAUUAAGGCUGAGGAAAAAAAUUCGAUAUUUGCAGAUGGAAACAGGAAAGCAGAGUGUUUUCUCCAUGAAGGUGGAGAAAACGAGAGAUCCAAUGAGAAGGAUGAUGAUGAUGAUGAAAGUUUGAAGCAAAUAAAUACUGCAAUAGAGGACCUAGCAUUAACUCUAGAAGCAUGUAUGAUGAAAGUGGAGAAGAUUUUAGCGAAGAUUAGAGAAUGGAAACUAUAGAAAGAAACCAGGCCAAAAAUGGAGUCCCCGUUUAGAAUGGUUCAACAAAAACAAUGUCAAACAUUAUCAACUGUUUGGUUCCCAACACAUAAAAAGAGGAAAAGAGGGAGAAGCAGAAUCAUGGAGAUCAAGAACGGGUUUACAACGACAGAACAGAAUCAUGUGUUAUACAUUAAUCUUCUGCGUCUAUGCUUAGACAUCUCCUUUCACUUUCAACUUCUAUCAUCUCUAUACAAACAUGUAAAUUGUGAUCAUGUUGGCUGAUGCCUGAUGGUAUUAUUGUUGAUGUUGGUUUUUUCGAAUGUAUUAAGCUAAUCGCUAGCAGUUAUCGAAUUUAUAAUUUCAUACUUAUAUUAUAAUUUGUUUUUUCA